Long non-coding RNA from Chelonia mydas (Green sea turtle), 5403 nucleotides. RefSeq lists it as uncharacterized. The transcript has 4 exons. Lineage: Eukaryota; Metazoa; Chordata; Testudines; Cheloniidae. The record is from RefSeq and is a predicted model, not a curated record.
UGCUGUUGAAAAUGCCAGGUGCCUUGAAAGGGUUUUUUUUAAAAGCGCGGGGCGGGAGGGGGGGGAAUAAACCACCCUCGGAGAAACAAUUGUGUUGAUCUUAUGUCACAUGAAAAACCCUGUUCUGAAAUUACACGGAGGAUAUUUAAUCCCAAAACUGAAGCGUUUUUUCAUGCAAACGCCGCAUGAUUCUGCUCUGGGGGAUUUCCAGAAACGGUGCUGCUCGCUAAUGCGUCUUCCGACAGUGUCAUUCCCCCCUACAGCGCGCGCGCGCCGUGCAACCGGUGUUGAUGCAAAACCCGCUUCCCCCCACCCACAUCAGUGCAAGUGCAACGAGGAUUUUGAUACAACGCCGCUCAUCCCCGAACACACCGUGGAACUAGGGGUAACACUUCCCGAACCAGUUGCAACCGGUGAUAACGCAGAUCCCCACACACGCCACUUGCCCCCGGCGUAAUGCAAUCUGUCCCUUCAAGGGUUAAGCCGUUCCCCGCCCGUAAAUCCUUCCCGAGUGAAGCAAGAGUAAUGUAAACACCGCCUUGCACAUUCACUCGAACCAAACCUUGCCCUUUUGGGGCUGCCCCGUCAGCUAUAAACGAAAUUCAAAAACAUGGUCUAGUUGUAGGAUCUCUCUCUCCCACACAUAAAAGGAGAGAGUUUCUUUUAGUUUCCCAUUAAUCAUCCGUUAAUAUUUUCAACUUCAUGGGUAUAGCAGCCCAGCCCUAGUGACUUUCCUGAGGUUAGCUUGUCAAUGAAAUGGCUAAUUUUUGGACUACACUCCCGUCCUGAUUUUUUCCCCCAGGGCUAAAAGGGGUUAACACGUCUUGUUUUCUGCUUCACAACAGCUCCCCGUUCAUACUGUGUCAAAUUCUUUUAAAGCUACUUUUUUUUUCCUUCUAAAGAAGCUUUAUCAAUGUAUACUAAGUAAACAGAUCCUUGUUUUUGCCUUCCACCCACUGCCCUUUCUCUCCAGACUGAAAUUGGAUUCCUGCCAACCCGGCUGCAGAAAUUGCUGCCGACACACUCGCAGAGGAGCGCAGGGUUUCUAGGGGUGUCUGACAACUCCAAGUCAUCCCAGCAUCAAGUGGCAGGGAAUCUGGAAUCACGUUCCUUGGAAAGAAAUGUUUUACCUUACUGGCUUUUUGUCGAUACCUAUGCUGACAAAUUCAAUCAGAAGACCCAUCUGAAAAAGUAAAGAUCCUUCUAAAAAUUUGGUUUGGAAUGCCAGCUGUAUUUUAAACUUAUGGGGGAAGUCAGGCUUUCCUUGUGACUGUAACUAAACGUGGUGCUCGUGAAACCUAGAGACUGAAGUAUCUUCUUUAUGCAGAGAACAGGCAGAGCAUGAACAGUAGCAAUAUGAGCUACCACACCAUGUGCCUUAUGCCUGUCAGUGUGAGUGGGAAGUGCAGUCUUUUGGGCAGAUCUCAGCUGAUGGAAGUUGUCAUGACUUUUUUGACAUCUCUCAUGACUUCAGUGGAGCUAUGGCAAUUUACACCAUCUGAGCCCCUCCCGGUCCAUUCAAAGCUUGGGAGGAAUGGAAAAGCAAUCCUGGCCAUUACUUUCUAUGACUGGUAAAAUAAUGGAACCAAUGUGAGAGGUAACAGGGAAUGUUCCUGUUAAGAGGGGUAACAACAGUGUGAAUGAUCAACAGCAUGGACUUAAUAAAGAACAAAUCAUUUCAGAGAAAUAUUUUUUUUAACCAAAUUAUAAAAUGUGCCCUCGAUUCUGCAGUGGCAUCUGCUAGUAUGAACCCCUGUGCCCAUAUGGAGUCCCACUGACAUCCGUCGGACUCCACACUGUCACAGGAGGCUGUGUGAGCAGAUCCUGAUGUAGGAUUGGCGUCUGAGUGGGAAAGAGAGAAAAAGAGCAGGUCCGGUAUGUCUGGUUUUCAGUAAAGUGGUUGACAGAGUCUUGUGAAACCUUUCUUGAAAUUAAUUCAACUUGGCUUGGAUUUGAGUAUUUGCACAUGGACUGAAAGCUGGACUGAGUACUGUAAACAAAGCAAAACAAAAUGAGAAACAGCAACGUAUCACACUGUGAGGGGCUGGCCAGUGGAGCAAGCAAAGGAUCGGUGCUAGGCCAAGUUUUAUUUCACAUUUUUAUUAACAUCUAGAGGAAGAGGGUAAGCAGCACACUGGAGGCCCAGUCCUGCUGCCACUGCUCUGGGAGUAGAUUUCCCACUGACUUCAAUAGGAGAUCCAUGUGCAUAACAGCAGCAGCACAAGGCCCUAAACUUGCAGAUAAUACUAAACUGGGAGGAUAUGCAAGCACCAGAGAGGAGAGGAUACAAAUAGUGUAAAGGGACUAGGAGGGAGUCAAAAUAUGGCUACAAAAUUAUACCCAUCCAGGAAAAUGCAAGCUUUGGGAGGGAGUGGGAUGGAGGAUAGAGCAACUUGUAAAGCAGCAAUGCUGAGAAAGACAUGAGGAUGAGUAGACAGCAAAUUGGAUAUGGGCUUUUAACGCAGUAUAUUGGCAAAACAACCUGACAUGCUUGAUUCUCCAGCAUCUUCCAGCCACAUUAGCGAUGGAUGGCACCCUAGUGGUGCAAAGCAGACAUCGUCCUGUUUUAAAUGGGCCUAGAAUUAUUUUCCCGUAUAGAAUCUCAGUCCUGCAAGUACAGAAUAGCAGUUCCUAUGACAAAGCCCUGCCAUAGCCCCCUAUGAAGGGGGCAUGGCCAGGGAAAAGGAGAUAUGGCCAAGGCAUUGUUCCACCUUACCAGUCCUUGACUGCUGUUCUUAGUCAGGGUAAGAUAGAAUAACCUUCAGGCCCUUUUAUCUUGUGCCAGGCACUGAGCUAGCACCCAUUGGCCACAGGGUCAGGGAACUGCAAAGUUGACAUAAAGCCAUCUUUGCAUCUCUCCAGGCCUGCACUAAGCACAGCUCAGCCAGCCCAGAAAAUUGAGGCUAAUGUAUUUUGGGGCUGUGAGACUAAACACAUCCUAUUCUCUCUCUCUCUCUCUCUCUCACACACACACACAUAUAUAUAUAUAUAUAUCAAGGAACUGAUAGUGUCUCUCAGCAUAGCACUGGUUAGCCCACAUCUGGAAUUCUGCCUUCUAUAAAAGACAGAUUGAGAGAAUAGCAACAAAAAUGAUGAAAGGACCAGAAGAUGAAGAUUAACCUAUGAAGAAAGGUUACAAGAGCUAAAUCUGUGUAGUUUAGCUAAAGGAUGAUGGCCAAAGGAGAUACAAGUCUACAAGCAACGGAUGUGUGUAACGAGCAAGCAGAGAGAGGAAUUGCUGAAGCUGAUGAUAAAAAGGAAGUAAACAUCACAUCAUCAGAUAUGUGCCAAGUGAAACAAACAUGGGAUGGCAAAACAGCAUAUUUGAAGAAGAGGGAUACAAACCUUAUAUUCAAGAUAUUGGAUCCAAACACAUAUAGGUCAUUAUCCGGUUGUUUUGCUGUGGGAGGAGAUGCAGAACUCCAGUGGUUUAUUGAUAUAAUUCCUUGAAGGUGAAGGAGCCAUAAAGUGAUCUCAAAACUGAGGCGUGAAGCAGCAUCAUGUAAUAUAGUUAAACAAUAAUGCAAACCACAGAAGAAUCGAUGGAAGAGGAGGGAAAUGAAUUCACCUAGAAAAGAAUGAAUAUUUAAGUCCAGCACAGAAAGAUGUUUGGAGUUUGUGGGGGAAGGUGGAGAAUCCCCUGGUUUCCUCUGCACUGAUCUCCCAUGCCCUGCAGUGUAUAAAAGCCUCCUAAAUAAAACGACUCUAUUAACAGACUACUGUAGGACUAGAGUAAAGAUGCACUCCAAGCUCUGGAUCCAAACCUCAGUUGAGAUAUUCAGAUCUGCUGUUCCAGUUCAGAUCCAUCUUUAGAUUCUGAAAUAUGGCAUUGACUCCUAAAUACCAUAAUACAAGAAAGGGAAUCAGCCAGGCAGGAUUGUUUAAACUCUCAGACAACUCAUAAUUUGACAGUGAUCCCUUUUUAAAGUGGGGGAAAGUGCAGGCUUUGAGUGAUUCAGAUUGAUCACCUUCUAAUCUGCAUUUUAGGUUUGAGUUUUCAUUAUAACAGAAGUGAUUCAAAGAAAAAAAAACUAUCUUAUUUACAUGUAAAACAAUUAAGUUCUGUCUGACUUUUCUGCACUCAGGAGCCAGCCACAUGUUCAGCUGCAGGGUAUUGUAAGGGACAAGAAAAUCUGGGAAAAUGCUUGCACCAAAUUGUUUUGGCUUUCCUAUGUAUUUGCAGUGUAAUUAAGCUGCAUAUAAAAUCAAAAGAAGAUUGAGUAAGCGGGGAGGCUAUAUAGCACAUAGAAGUGUGGGCCUGAUUCACAGCCCACUGAAGUCAAUGUGCAAUGAUUGCAAUGGGCUUUGAACCAGGCCCCCUAUGCAUGAUAACCAAGAUAGAAUAAAUUGCAGCAAUGGACAUAAUACUGUAGUUUAAAAUGAAGCUAGAGCAACAUUUUUAAGAUAGGGUUUUUUCUUGCUGCAGGCAGAUAAUGGAACUAGCCUCCAGACGUGUAAACUCUCAGCAGCCAGCAUGAUCAUCAUGAGCCAAUUUCUAUUGAAAUUAGAUCAAUACUAUUUUUUUCCCUUCCCCUCACUGGCUCCUAAGUGAUUCAUGAAUCUGAAAACUAGUUCAUGAAUCUGAGAGGAAGGGGGAGAGGAGGAGGCGGAAUAUCUGCAGUCAGCAAACCUUGACUCUGUUUCAUGAAUCCAGGGAUUAGUUACAUAAUGUUCUGCUGCCUGCUAGUUGAAACCAGUAUUUAGGUUGCCGUUUAAAACUUUUACUUAUUCAAUUCCCCCCACUCCCCCUCCAAGAACUGGGUAGAGCCACGUUCUUUUACACACACACACACACACACACACACACACACGGCAAAAAUCAGAGCCAUGUUAUAUAGCAACUAUUUGAGUGUAUGUGCAUGUGACACACAUCUUAGCUACACUUUGUGUGUGUGUAUAGAGAGAGACAGACAAGAAUCAGUGCUGCACCAGAUAGCGCUCCUGGGUGUGUCAGAAAUUAGAGCUACGUUAUGUAGGAAUUCUCUGAAUGUGUGUGUGCUUGUGACAAGGUGGAGAGCCACGCUGGGUAAUGUGUGUAUAUGUAAAGACAGACAAGAAUCAGCACCACAUUACCUAGCACUCAUAUGUGUACUUGUAUGUGACAAGAAUAGUUUAACCGGUUAUGGGCCCUUUAAAUCUGUACUGGAGCCAAGUCUCUCUCUCUGUGGAGUUUCAUAAGGAAGCACAUGAUGAGAGCAGUUGGAAACCACAUCUCUGUGAGUGCUGAUUACAGCCGACUGAGGAAAAUGAGAUUUUUAUCUUGCAGGAAUUCAAUUAUCAAAAAAAUAAAAUACAGCCUGUCUGCCUUUAUUCGGCUAAACUCACUGCACCGCGGUGUUUUUAAUUUAACGCAAAGUGGUGCAAGAAUUAUUUAAAACAUUGUGUUUUUUGUAAAGGAGAGAA